AACGAACGCUGGCGGCGCGCCUAAUACAUGCAAGUCGAGCGAGAAGACGUAGCAAUACGUUUGUAAAGCGGCGAACGGGUGAGGAAUACAUGGGUAACCUACCCUCGAGUGGGGAAUAACUAGCCGAAGGUUAGCUAAUACCGCGUACGCUCCUUGGACUUCGGUUCAGGGAGGAAAGCGAUACCGUGGGUAUCGCGCUCUUGGAUGGGCUCAUGUCCUAUCAGCUUGUUGGUGAGGAACGGCUCACCAAGGCUUCGACGGGUAGCUGGUCUGAGAGGACGAUCAGCCACACUGGCACUGCGACACGGGCCAGACUCCUACGGGAGGCAGCAGUAAGGAAUACUGCGCAAUGGGCGAAAGCCUGACGCAGCGACGCCGCGUGGGGGA
Molecule: ribosomal RNA, 387 nt
Filed under: uncultured bacterium
Lineage: Bacteria
Description: bacterial SSU rRNA
Rfam family: Bacterial small subunit ribosomal RNA
Source: RNAcentral